This 460-nucleotide ribosomal RNA is filed under the name Clavispora lusitaniae. RNAcentral's name for it is "partial large subunit ribosomal RNA". It matches the Rfam family "Eukaryotic large subunit ribosomal RNA", at positions 62 to 538 of the family's 3401-position model. The record is from RNAcentral. Lineage: Eukaryota; Fungi; Ascomycota; Pichiomycetes; Serinales; Metschnikowiaceae.
AAACCAACAGGGAUUGCCCCAGUAACGGCGAGUGAAGCGGCAAAAGCUCAAAUUUGAAAUCCUGCGGGAAUUGUAAUUUGAAGGUUUCGUGGUCUGAGUCGGCCGCGCCCAAGUCCAUUGGAACAUGGCGCCUGGGAGGGUGAGAGCCCCGUAUGGCGCACGCCGACUCUUUGCACCGCGGCUCCGACGAGUCGAGUUGUUUGGGAAUGCAGCUCUAAGUGGGUGGUAAAUUCCAUCUAAAGCUAAAUAUUGGCGAGAGACCGAUAGCGAACAAGUACAGUGAUGGAAAGAUGAAAAGCACUUUGAAAAGAGAGUGAAACAGCACGUGAAAUUGUUGAAAGGGAAGGGCUUGCAAGCAGACACGGUUUUACCGGGCCAGCGUCGAAAAGGGGGGAGGAACAAGAACUCGAGAAUGUGGCGCGCACCUUCGGGCGCGCGUGUUAUAGCUCGUGUUGACGCC